RNAcentral lists this unclassified non-coding RNA (444 nucleotides) under Hevea brasiliensis (rubber tree). Lineage: Eukaryota; Viridiplantae; Streptophyta; Magnoliopsida; Malpighiales; Euphorbiaceae. The record is from RNAcentral.
AAUUCACCAGUCCCUGAAAAUGCUCUGCUGUAGCCGCACCCGUGCACAAUCAUGCACCAGCUGAGCAACCACCUCCAGCUUCAUCUCCUCCAACUCAUCGGUCUCUAUGGUAGCAUAAGGAAUUGAUAGAACAUUACCAAAAUAAUUCUCCAUAGAAUCCAACCUCGACCGGCCAUUAACCAUAAUGCCCAUGCUGCACGCCCGCGCUCCGGUGGUCUCUCGCGCUCCCUUGGCAGUAAUCCUCCAAAGGUACGCAGCGAAGGCCCCAGCUUGCUCCUCCUCUGUCCUCCAAAAGAGCUUGCAUCUUUUUGUAUACGUUCUAUAUCAUCAGCUUUGAUGUAGUAUAUGCGGUUGACGAAUUCCUCAGUCGCUGGGGUCGGCGGAGGGUUCUUGGUUGGCAGGGGCACGAAGAGGUGGCUGAGUAAUGGGUCAUGAUCACAUAGG